Molecule: small nuclear RNA, 164 nt
Organism: Clupea harengus (Atlantic herring)
Lineage: Eukaryota; Metazoa; Chordata; Actinopteri; Clupeiformes; Clupeidae
Gene: U1
Rfam family: U1 spliceosomal RNA
About the family: U1 is a small nuclear RNA (snRNA) component of the spliceosome (involved in pre-mRNA splicing). Its 5' end forms complementary base pairs with the 5' splice junction, thus defining the 5' donor site of an intron.
Source: Ensembl
AUACUUACCUGGCAGGGGCGAUACAAUGAUCAAGAAGGUUGUUUGCCCAGGGCGAGGCUCGGCCAUUGCACUCCGGUCGUGCUGACCCCUGCGAAUUCCUCAAAUGUAGGAAUCUCGACUGCACAAUUUCUGGUAGUGGGGAACUGCGUUCGCGCUCUCCCCUG